This 537-nucleotide ribosomal RNA is filed under the name Triticum aestivum (bread wheat). RNAcentral's name for it is "partial small subunit ribosomal RNA". The record is from RNAcentral. Lineage: Eukaryota; Viridiplantae; Streptophyta; Magnoliopsida; Poales; Poaceae.
AUGGGGAAGGGCCGCAGCUGCAGGUACGGAUCAGAGCGGCUGCUCUACCCCGUCCAGGCCAGCGGUCACCACGUCGCUGGCGGCGCCGAUCACCUCGCCGACCUCGACGAGGAGGAUGUCUGGUCGGUGCUCGCGGCGCCUGCGCCCGACUCCAACCGCUCCACCGGCAGGCAACCUGAGCAAGAGCGUCGCGGGCGGUGGACCGCAGGGGGCCUGUCGCUGGCGUUCGAGGCAACGGCGUCCACGCCGGCCGGGCGCCACCAUCAUCACGUGGCGAGCUCGGCGCCUGUCAGGGUGCCCGAGUGGCCGGCGGCCAGGUUCCCGGCUGUGUCUGGCGAGCACGGCUACGGCGUGAGCUGCCGUGAGGAGGAGGGGGAGUGGAUGGCGCCGCACGAGUACCUGCAGGCCCAGGCACGGAGCAGCGGGCGCGGCACGGCGGCGCCGUCGGUGUUCGAGGGCGUGGGGAGGACCCUGAAAGGGCGCGACCUCAGCCGGGUGCGCGACGCCGUCUGGAGCAACACCGGAUUCUUCGGCUAA